This is a long non-coding RNA of Setaria italica (foxtail millet), 1744 nucleotides long. RefSeq lists it as uncharacterized. The transcript has 2 exons. The record is from RefSeq and is a predicted model, not a curated record. NCBI's taxonomy places the organism in Eukaryota, Viridiplantae, Streptophyta, Magnoliopsida, Poales, Poaceae.
UUCGUUCCUGAAAUUGACUGCCUAGGAUAAUUUGUUUCUGUUUCUGUUUGGUAUCCUACUCCUGAAAUACGUUAGAAGCGAUUUAUUAUCUUCGAAUUUGAGUGCUUUUUGUUGGCAAUGCUGCCAAUAAAUGAAUUCCUGCAGUUGUUAGUGAAUUAGGGAAAAGAAAUAAUGAUUUUUAGGAAACAAGGUAGUAACACUGUUGGUGCUGAUGCUUGUUAACGCAACAAGACACAAUAAGGGUAACAAGUUAUCUAGUGGUUCAGUGCUUAGAUAAUACAAUUAAUUUGAAGCAUCUGGUGAUGGUUGAUUUGCAGUCUGCAGCUGUAGCAUGUAUGGCAUUCUUUGUUUCCUUACCACCAAGCCUUGUUCAGCCGCCCUAGCCUCUUAGUCUUUUACUGUCACUUAUUGUUGCAUUCCCAACAAAAAAAGAAGAAGGGCAGGACACAUAACUAUUUUUACAUAGUAGCCAACAAUGUGCUUUCUUAUCUUUCAUUUCAAUGACCACUAAGGAACUCAAAAUCAAUCUCUGAAUCACUCUCCCUGCUAGACAGGUUUCUCUUACCUGCAGGUGCUAAUUAUGGCAUUUCAAUUGUGCUCCCUUUUAUGGGUAACUGGGUAACCUGCUAAAAUGUCCUAUUAGUAACUACCAGUGAAUGAUAUUGAUAAUGGAUACUGUCUUCAAGUGUCAAUGUAACAACAUUGCCAUUUAUAGUGUUGAUAAGUACGGAAAUGAUAUAUCUUCGAUAUGUUCAAGAUAGAAGCAUAAUCUAGAAAAUAUUUUGUAUCACAGAUUGUGAAACUUUGGUUUCAGUUCAAAACAUGUUUAAUUGAGUAGCCGCUAGCCAACAUAAAGAGUAACAUCCAGGAUCACCAACUUUGGUGCUAUAAUCACUUCUUAGUUAAAAUAUCUGAAUUUGAGACCAGUCUCUGUUGCAUAUGUGGGAGAGGGAGUGUGUUGGGCUGUGAAAAUAACAUUGAAUAUGCACAAGUGAGUGAGUAGGGUUUUAAAAACAAUAUUGAAUAUACCUGUUCAUAGAUUGGAGACGACAUUUGGGUAAUAACUUGGUAUCAGGUGUUGCUAGCAUAAACUUGAGGACAUAUUGAAGGACAUUCUCAUUCGAGAAACUCACAUUGAUGGUUGAUGAAAAAUAUCCCAUGUGGUCUUAAGGUGCCAGUGCAAAUUCCAAAAUGUAGCAUCUGUGUGAUGCAUACAAUCUUUAAAACUCAGCAUCUUAGAAGGGAAAAAACCUUGAUUAUGGCCAUAGAUGUGCGACACUCAAACAAGUUAUGCUCUUUGAUGUUGUUUCAAAGGGGUCCGUCCUUAUAUCCAUGUGUGUUCCCCAUGAUAUAGUGGUUCCUAUUUGUAUGUUCUACUAUGCUUUAAGAAAAAGGGUGUAGAAAUGUGAUAUUUUCAUAUUUCCUUUGAGCUUCAUUAAAAGGCAAGGUGUUUGCCUAACUAACUUGUCUCAAUCUUAUAUUGAAGCUACAUCUUCUCUUUAAUUAAACGUCAAAUCUUUCUUCAGUUUUCAUACGCAUUAAUAAAUGGUGGCAUAUCUGGGCAAAUGCCCUACAAGUUCUGAUGUACAAAUGACACUCCCUGUGGUUCAGAUUCUUGAAAGACAUCAUCUCUAUGCAAAAGAUUUAAUGUCUGGAACCAUCAAUCCUUUAUGCCGAAGUAGGCUGGUACAUUAUGUAGUUUGUCAUGACAUAUAUUCCAUGAAUAAUAAUAGAAGUUUUGCUU